AACGAACGCUGGCGGCAUGCCUAACACAUGCAAGUCGAACGAGACCUUCGGGUCUAGUGGCGCACGGGUGCGUAACGCGUGGGAACCUGCCCUUAGGUUCGGAAUAACUCCCCGAAAGGGGUGCUAAUACCGGAUAAUGUCUUCGGACCAAAGAUUUAUCGCCUUUGGAUGGGCCCGCGUUGGAUUAGCUAGUUGGUAGGGUAAAAGCCUACCAAGGCGACGAUCCAUAGCUGGUCUGAGAGGAUGAUCAGCCACACUGGGACUGAGACACGGCCCAGACUCCUACGGGAGGCAGCAGUGGGGAAUAUUGGACAAUGGGCGAAAGCCUGAUCCAGCAAUACCGCGUGAGUGAUGAAGGCCUUAGGGUUGUAAAGCUCUUUUACCCGGGAUGAUAAUGACAGUACCGGGAGAAUAAGCUCCGGCUAGCUCCGUG
RNAcentral lists this ribosomal RNA (433 nucleotides) under uncultured bacterium. RNAcentral describes it as "partial 16S ribosomal RNA". It matches the Rfam family "Bacterial small subunit ribosomal RNA", at positions 29 to 507 of the family's 1533-position model. The record is from RNAcentral.